UACAGAGGGGGCAAGCGUUGUUCGGAAUUACUGGGCGUAAAGGGCGCGUAGGCGGCCUUCUAAGUCGAACGUGAAAUCCCCGGGCUCAACCCGGGAACUGCGUCCGAUACUGGAAGGCUUGAAUCCGGGAGAGGGAUGUGGAAUUCCAGGUGUAGCGGUGAAAUGCGUAGAUAUCAAGAGGAACACCUGAGGUGAAGACGGGUUGCUGGGCCAACACUGACGCUGAGGCGCGAAAGCCAGGGGAGCAAACGGG
Molecule: ribosomal RNA, 253 nt
Filed under: uncultured bacterium
Lineage: Bacteria
Description: partial 16S ribosomal RNA
Rfam family: Bacterial small subunit ribosomal RNA
Source: RNAcentral